RNAcentral lists this transfer RNA (71 nucleotides) under Stegodyphus mimosarum. It matches the Rfam family "tRNA". From Rfam's summary of the family: Transfer RNA (tRNA) molecules are approximately 80 nucleotides in length. Lineage: Eukaryota; Metazoa; Arthropoda; Arachnida; Araneae; Eresidae. The record is from Rfam by way of RNAcentral.
ACCUUCGUGGUGUAACGGUAGCACACUCGUCGCGUAAUCGGGAGAUCCAGGUUCGAGUCCCGGCGAGGUCA